UAAUUUUUUUUUUAAUUAUAGUAUGCGUAUGUUAUGAACGUGUCAGGAUCAAUAUGGGCAAAACAAUCCAACAACAAAUUAAGAGACUAUGUUUGGGAUCCGCAUUGAUAAAUACGACUUGGGAGAGCAAAUUGGACUUAUGCAACCUGUUGAGAAAAUUAUGUUUGUAGCAUUGGGCUUUCAUUGCUUGUACUCCAUGGUUUAAGACUACCUCAAAAUUUCUUGCCAUACCCCAGCUGCAACUGUGUUGGAUCGCUUCAGCGGUGUUUCCGACCCAACCGUAUGGAUUUAUCAGGCAGAGCGCUACUUCAAUUUUACUGGCUUUUCUAAGGAUAUGUGGUUUACUCUUCCUUACCUGUAUUUUGACAGGGAAGACCUCGCCUGGUUUAAUUGGUUGUAUCGCAAUAAGCAAUUCUAUUACCGGAAGCAUUUCACUAAUAAAUUGGUAUGCCAUUACCUCCAGCAAACUGUUCUAGAACUUGAAUUGCCUUCUUUAACUGAUCUAUUGCUGUGAAUGUAAAUUUAUGUAUGCAUCGUCACCUGGAUAACAUUCAAACUACUUUGUUGACUUGCUCCCAAAAGUCUUUUGACGCUCAAGCACAAGUGUGAGAUAGAGGAGGUCGUUGAACAUGAUAUUGUUUCUGCUUUGGACAAGAACAACUCCAACCCUAUAGAGAAUUCAGAGGUCGCUCAUACAAUGUUACCAUGUCAUGUGGCCAAUUCGAUGGUACUUUCGCAACGGUUAAAUUUAAGAGGUAGUUCUUCAAACCUCUAUGACUUCUUCUUCUCAUCCCUUUCUUCUAUUUAUGUUUUUCAAUUGCCAUUUAGUUUUUAAAUUUCUUUUUAAUUUUAAUUACGAAUUAGUGAAAUAGACUUGUCGAUUGUUUGAAUUUGAUUUGGAUUGAUCUUGUUAUUGUGUUUGUUACAUCGUAUCAUGUAUAUAUCAAAAAUGAGCCUAAAAUUGUUAAUAUCAUAAUGGGUUUUCUUCAUUGUC
This is a long non-coding RNA of Solanum pennellii, 994 nucleotides long. RefSeq lists it as uncharacterized. The record is from RefSeq and is a predicted model, not a curated record. The transcript is spliced from 2 exons. NCBI's taxonomy places the organism in Eukaryota, Viridiplantae, Streptophyta, Magnoliopsida, Solanales, Solanaceae.